This 301-nucleotide ribosomal RNA is filed under the name uncultured bacterium. RNAcentral describes it as "partial 16S ribosomal RNA". It matches the Rfam family "Bacterial small subunit ribosomal RNA", at positions 509 to 807 of the family's 1533-position model. The record is from RNAcentral.
CAGUCGCCGCGGUAAUACGUAGGGUGCAAGCGUUAAUCGGAAUUACUGGGCGUAAAGCGUGCGCAGGCGGUUUUGUAAGACAGAGGUGAAAUCCCCGGGCUCAACCUGGGAACUGCCUUUGUGACUGCAAGGCUAGAGUACGGCAGAGUGGGAUGGAAUUCCGCGUGUAGCAGUGAAAUGCGUAGAUAUGCGGAGGAACACCGAUGGCGAAGGCAAUCCCCUGGGCCUGUACUGACGCUCAUGCACGAAAGCGUGGGGAGCAAACAGGAUUAGAUACCCCGGUAGUCCCUGUCUCUUAUAC